GGAUUAGAUACCCUGGUAGUCCACGCAGUAAACGAUGAGUGCUAGUCGCUGGGACAAUAGUUUCAGUGUCGUAGCUAACGCAUUAAGCACUCCGCCUGGGAAGUACGGUCGCAAGAUUAAAACUCAAAUAAAUUGACGGGGGCCCGCACAAGCGGUGGAGCAUGUGGUUUAAUUCGAAGCAACGCGAAGAACCUUACCAGACCUUGACAUGGUAUGUUUGAACAACAGAAUAGUUGUUCUUCAGUUCGGCUGGCAUACACACAGGUGCUGCAUGGCUGUCGUCAGCUCGUGCCG
This 294-nucleotide ribosomal RNA is filed under the name uncultured bacterium. Its description in RNAcentral is "partial 16S ribosomal RNA". It matches the Rfam family "Bacterial small subunit ribosomal RNA", at positions 775 to 1067 of the family's 1533-position model. The record is from RNAcentral.